CCUGAGAAACCCAAAAGAUCGAAUGGGGAGAUUCAUCGUCAGCGGCGUUGGCUUCCGUGUGAGUUAGCGAUGGGCCGAGACUUCGGUUUCGCGUCACGCUGCCUCUGCGGUAUGUCCGGCGUCGUCGGCGUGCACUUCUCCCCUAGUAGGACGUCGCGACCCGUUGGGUGUCGGCCUACGGUCCGAUCGGUCGACUGUCGCGUCGCGUUCACGCGCGCACCGCAACAGACCUUCGGUUGCCCGGCCGUCUGCCCGGCGGUAUAGAACGAUUCUGAACAAGGUAUCGGGCCGCACUUAAGUGCGUUCAGGCUCGUCGGCAGGCUCGCCACGCUCGGUUUACGGACCUAGCGCCGUUGUCGGGCGGUUGGCGUAGCCGUUAGUCAACGAUGUCCUCGGACUGGCUCUUACAUUCGAACGGAUAUACCAGUCGGCGACGCUACUGCUUUGGGUACUUUC
This 456-nucleotide ribosomal RNA is filed under the name Kerya antennalis. RNAcentral's name for it is "eukaryotic LSU rRNA". Lineage: Eukaryota; Metazoa; Arthropoda; Insecta; Hymenoptera; Pteromalidae. The record is from RNAcentral.